GUUGGGUACUCUAUUGAGACUGCCGCUGACAAGGCGGAGGAAGGUGGGGACGACGUCAAGUCAUCAUGGCCCUUACGACCAGGGCUACACACGUGCUACAAUGGGUAUUACAGAGGGCUGCGAAGGUGCGAGCUGGAGCGAAACUCAAAAAGGUACUCUUAGUCCGGAUUGCAGUCUGCAACUCGACUGCAUGAAGUCGGAAUCGCUAGUAAUCGCAGGUCAGAAUACUGCGGUGAAUACGUUCCCGGGU
This 250-nucleotide ribosomal RNA is filed under the name Francisella tularensis. RNAcentral's name for it is "partial ribosomal RNA". It matches the Rfam family "Bacterial small subunit ribosomal RNA", at positions 1130 to 1378 of the family's 1533-position model. Lineage: Bacteria; Pseudomonadati; Pseudomonadota; Gammaproteobacteria; Thiotrichales; Francisellaceae. The record is from RNAcentral.